AUUGAACGCUGGCGGCAUGCUUUACACAUGCAAGUCGAACGGUAACAGGCCGCAAGGUGCUGACGAGUGGCGAACGGGUGAGUAAUGCAUCGGAACGUGCCCAGUCGUGGGGGAUAACUACUCGAAAGAGUAGCUAAUACCGCAUACGAUCUAUGGAUGAAAGCGGGGGACCGUAAGGCCUCGCGCGAUUGGAGCGGCCGAUGUCAGAUUAGGUAGUUGGUGGGGUAAAGGCUCACCAAGCCAACGAUCUGUAGCUGGUCUGAGAGGACGACCAGCCACACUGGGACUGAGACACGGCCCAGACUCCUACGGGAGGCAGCAGUGGGGAAUUUUGGACAAUGGGCGCAAGCCUGAUCCAGCAAUGCCACGUGCAGGGAGAAGGCCUUCGGGUUGUAAACUGCUUUUGUACGGAACGAAACGGCUCUGGUUAAUACCCGGGGCUAAUGACGGUACCGUAAGAAUAAGCACCGGCUAACUACGUG
RNAcentral lists this ribosomal RNA (482 nucleotides) under uncultured bacterium. RNAcentral's name for it is "partial 16S ribosomal RNA". It matches the Rfam family "Bacterial small subunit ribosomal RNA", at positions 30 to 507 of the family's 1533-position model. The record is from RNAcentral.